RNAcentral lists this ribosomal RNA (731 nucleotides) under uncultured bacterium. RNAcentral's name for it is "bacterial SSU rRNA". It matches the Rfam family "Bacterial small subunit ribosomal RNA", at positions 771 to 1501 of the family's 1533-position model. The record is from RNAcentral.
AACAGGAUUAGAUACCCUGGUAGUCCACGCCGUAAACGAUGUCUACUAGCUGUUCGUGGUCUUGUACUGUGAGUAGCGCAGCUAACGCACUAAGUAGACCGCCUGGGGAGUACGGUCGCAAGAUUAAAACUCAAAUGAAUUGACGGGGGCCCGCACAAGCGGUGGAGCAUGUGGUUUAAUUCGACGCAACGCGAAGAACCUUACCUACUCUUGACAUCUAGCGAAGACUGCAGAGAUGCGGUUGUGCCUUCGGGAACGCUAAGACAGGUGCUGCAUGGCUGUCGUCAGCUCGUGUUGUGAAAUGUUGGGUUAAGUCCCGCAACGAGCGCGACCCUUAUCCUUAGUUGCCAGCACGUAAUGGUGGGAACUCCAGGGAGACUGCCGGUGAUAAACCGGAGGAAGGUGGGGACGACGUCAAGUCAUCAUGGCCCUUACGAGUAGGGCUACACACGUGCUACAAUGGUAUGUACAGAGGGAGGCAAGCUGGCGACAGUGAGCGGAUCUCUUAAAGCAUAUCGUAGUCCGGAUCGUAGUCUGCAACUCGACUGCGUGAAGUCGGAAUCGCUAGUAAUCGCAAAUCAGAAUGUUGCGGUGAAUACGUUCCCGGGCCUUGUACACACCGCCCGUCACACCAUGGGAGUGGGUUGCAAAAGAAGUAGGUAGCUUAACCUUCGGGAGGGCGCUUACCACUUUGUGAUUCAUGACUGGGGUGAAGUCGUAACAAGGUAACC